AGCAACCCAUUUGAAUCUCUCAAAGUAUAUAAUCAUGUUACAAGUUACAAGCACAUGCCAUCAGUUUCAUACCAAAAACUAUUCAUUAAACAAUGCUUAAAACAAACAAUAUAUAUGAAAAGGUUUCAAACUUCAAGUUAUUCCCCACAGAAGUUCACAAUUUAUGACCACCAUUGUUUUUCAAUUACUUUGUUAGAAAUAUAUAAUCUGGUACCAUACCAUGGAUAGCUAAAAUAAAAAUCAACUUGUGAUAUCAGCUUGCAUUUGGUCAAUAAAUCAAUAAUAUAGCAACUUUGCACAAAUAUAUAUUUGAGACUGUCACUCCAGCUGUUAGAAGAUUUGCUUGCAAAAUGACAAAGGUAAGGCAACAAGUACCAGUUAUGUAGUGAGAUCAUCAUAUCAUGAGUAUGUAAAGCUUAGAGAGAUUGUAUGAUAUAAAGUUUUUUUUUUCUUUCAUUUCUAUGACAGAAUAUAGCCUAGAUUUAGCAGCAGUGAGAUUCUUGUUGAGUUGCAUAUACAGUAAUAGGAUGGUGUUUUCUAUAUAGCCAAAUACAGCAUAUAUUUUUUCAGUUGCAGAAAUUUGGUGUAAGAUUUUAUUUUAUUUUAUUGUUCAAAUUGAUAAUCCUUUGUUUGACAAGGUUUAUUUGUUUUAUUUAUUUUUGCCUGAGAAUCUAGUUGUAAUAAAUAUACAUUAAAUUUUGGUUACUUUGAACAGUUUUUUUCAUGGAGUGGAAUUACAAAUUA
Molecule: long non-coding RNA, 744 nt
Organism: Humulus lupulus (European hop)
Lineage: Eukaryota; Viridiplantae; Streptophyta; Magnoliopsida; Rosales; Cannabaceae
Exons: 2
Source: RefSeq, a predicted model, not a curated record